CGCCAGACUCCUACGGGAGGCAGCAGUGGGGGAUAUUGCACAAUGGGGGAAACCCUGAUGCAGCGACGCCGCGUGAGUGAAGAAGUAAUUCGUUACGUAAAGCUCUAUCAGCAGGGAAGAAAAUGACGGUACCUGACUAAGAAGCCCCGGCUAACUACGUGCCAGCAGCCGCGGUAAUACGUAGGGGGCAAGCGUUAUCCGGAAUUACUGGGUGUAAAGGGAGCGCAGACGGCAGUGCAAGUCUGGAGUGAAAGCCCGGGGCUUAACUACGGGACUGCUCUGGAAACUGUGCAGCUAGAGUGCAGGAGAGGCAGGCGGAAUUCCUAGUGUAGCGGUGAAAUGCGUAGAUAUUAGGAGGAACACCGGUGGCGAAGGCGGCCUGCUGGACUGUAACUGACGUUGAGGCUCGAAAGCGUGGGGAGCAAACAGGAUUAGAUACCCGUGUA
This 446-nucleotide ribosomal RNA is filed under the name uncultured bacterium. RNAcentral describes it as "partial 16S ribosomal RNA". It matches the Rfam family "Bacterial small subunit ribosomal RNA", at positions 329 to 792 of the family's 1533-position model. The record is from RNAcentral.